This 343-nucleotide ribosomal RNA is filed under the name Foraminifera environmental sample. RNAcentral's name for it is "SSU rRNA". It matches the Rfam family "Eukaryotic small subunit ribosomal RNA", at positions 1176 to 1464 of the family's 1831-position model. Lineage: Eukaryota; Foraminifera. The record is from RNAcentral.
GUGGAACAUGUGGCUUAAUUUGACCCAACACGGGAAAUCUUACCAGGUCCGGACACAUUAAGGAUUGACAGAUAAAAUAACCUUAUAUAAAAUAUGAUAGUUCUUUCAUGAUUAUGUGAUAGGUGGUGCAUGGCCGUUCUUAGUUCGUGGAUUGAUCUGUCUGCUUAAUUGCGUUUCAGAAAAAAAUAUACAAUAUUAUAAUAUAUAAUUAUUGAAUAUGUAAUAUGUGAACUGUUCUGCCAAAAGAUUUUGGAUUUUAAGUGAACGUUUAUAUUCAAUUAUAUGUUUAUAUAUUAUUAUAUUAUUAUAAUAUUAAAUAAAUUGAAUGCAACGAACGUGACCG